Molecule: ribosomal RNA, 496 nt
Filed under: uncultured bacterium
Lineage: Bacteria
Description: partial 16S ribosomal RNA
Rfam family: Bacterial small subunit ribosomal RNA
Source: RNAcentral
AUGAACGCUGGCGGCGUGCCUAAUACAUGCAAGUCGAGCGAACGGACGAGAAGCUUGCUUCUCUGAUGUUAGCGGCGGACGGGUGAGUAACACAUGGAUAACCUACCUAUAAGACUGGGAUAACUUCGGGAAACCGGAGCUAAUACCGGAUGAUAUUUUGAACCGCAUGGUUCAAAAGUGAAAGACGGUCUUGCUGUCACUUAUAGAUGGAUCCGCGCUGCAUUAGCUAGUUGGUAAGGUAACGGCUUACCAAGGCAACGAUGCAUAGCCGACCUGAGAGGGUGAUCGGCCACACUGGAACUGAGACACGGUCCAGACUCCUACGGGAGGCAGCAGUAGGGAAUCUUCCGCAAUGGGCGAAAGCCUGACGGAGCAACGCCGCGUGAGUGAUGAAGGUCUUCGGAUCGUAAAACUCUGUUAUUAGGGAAGAACAUAUGUGUAAGUAACUGUGCACAUCUUGACGGUACCUAAUCAGAAAGCCACGGCUAACUACGUG